This 457-nucleotide ribosomal RNA is filed under the name uncultured bacterium. Its description in RNAcentral is "bacterial SSU rRNA". It matches the Rfam family "Bacterial small subunit ribosomal RNA", at positions 340 to 786 of the family's 1533-position model. The record is from RNAcentral.
UACGGAAGGCAGCAGUGGGGAAUAUUGCACAAUGGGCGCAAGCCUGAUGCAGCCAUGCCGCGUGUAUGAAGAAGGCCUUCGGGUUGUAAAGUACUUUCAGCGGGGAGGAAGGCGAUGCGGUUAAUAACCGCGUCGAUUGACGUUACCCGCAGAAGAAGCACCGGCUAACUCCGUGCCAGCAGCCGCGGUAAUACGGAGGGUGCAAGCGUUAAUCGGAAUUACUGGGCGUAAAGCGCACGCAGGCGGUCUGUUUAAGUCAGAUGUGAAAUCCCCCGGGCUUAACCUGGGAACUGCAUUUUGAAACUGGCAGGCUUGAGUCUUGUAGAGGGGGUAGAAUUCCAGGUGUAGCGGUGAAAUGCGUAGAGAUCUGGAGGAAUACCGGUGGCGAAGGCGGCCCCUGGGACAAAGACUGACGCUCAGGUGCGAAAGCGUGGGGAGCAAACAGGAUUAGGAUACC